This 497-nucleotide ribosomal RNA is filed under the name uncultured bacterium. RNAcentral describes it as "partial 16S ribosomal RNA". It matches the Rfam family "Bacterial small subunit ribosomal RNA", at positions 28 to 507 of the family's 1533-position model. The record is from RNAcentral.
GAUGGACGCUGGCGGCGUGCCUAAUACAUGCAAGUCGAGCGAACAGACGAGGAGCUUGCUCCUCUGACGUUAGCGGCGGACGGGUGAGUAACACGUGGAUAACCUACCUAUAAGACUGGGAUAACUUCGGGAAACCGGAGCUAAUACCGGAUAAUAUAUUGAACCGCAUGGUUCAAUAGUUAAAGACGGUUUUGCUGUCACUUAUAGAUGGAUCCGCGCCGCAUUAGCUAGUUGGUAAGGUAACGGCUUACCAAGGCAACGAUGCGUAGCCGACCGGAGAGGGUGAUCGGCCCACCUGGAACGGAGACACGGACAAGACUCCGAGGGGGGGCAGAAGUGGGGAAUAUGCGGCAAGGGGCGAAAGCCGGAAGGAGAACGGCCGCGGGAGUGAAGAAGGCUUUGGGUUUGAAAAACUCUUUUAUAGGGAAAGAAAAAGUGGGAAGUAACAUUUACCUGUUUUGAGGGUACCAAAAGAAAAAGCAACGGCUAACUACGUG